This 209-nucleotide ribosomal RNA is filed under the name uncultured bacterium. RNAcentral's name for it is "partial 16S ribosomal RNA". It matches the Rfam family "Bacterial small subunit ribosomal RNA", at positions 1292 to 1500 of the family's 1533-position model. The record is from RNAcentral.
UUCGGAUUGUAGUCUGCAACCCGACUACAUGAAGCCGGAAUCGCUAGUAAUCGCGGAUCAGAAUGCCGCGGUGAAUACGUUCCCGGGUCUUGUACACACCGCCCGUCACACCAUGGGAGUCGGGAAUGCCCGAAGUCAGUGACCCAACCCAAGGGAGGGAGCUGCCGAAGGCAGGCCUGGUGACUGGGGUGAAGUCGUAACAAGGUACC